UACAGAGCUUAAAAGUUUUUUCUUAUCCUUAUAAAAGUUAUUUGAGAAAUUAUAAGACUAUAAGAGAGAUUGUAAUAGUCGUGGGCCAUAGUGGAAAAUGUAGCUAGCCCUCAUUAUUUUUUGCAUACUAAGCGACCCCUCUCUUUCAGAUCUUUGACUCAUUAACAGAUCGAAUUGUCAAAGAUGGAGUCUUUGAGUUGGGGAAUGAAUCACUGUCCUAACAACAAUAUACCUUGUAAUUGUGUGUUGAAAUUUUACUUGACUGUAUUUUGCUGCAUAAAAUUGUGUGUCUCUUGGGCUUCUCCCCUUAUUCCCUUUGUUCCCUUUAAAUCAUAUGAAGGCAUUCAUAAUAGUUUGGGGUAGAUAACAAAUGAAGAAUUAGUCUUUGUUUUCAACUGGAAAUUAUAAAAAAAAUUAUACCCAUGUUUAUUUAUAAAAAUCACCUUAUGUAUGAAUUAAACUAAUAUGGUCCAAAAGAAGGUUUGGUUCAUUUGAAAUAAUAAAUAAAUACUCUAAUACAGAUAAAAAUCAUGUACUUAGGGUAUUGGCAGAAAGCACAAGUUAGGAUGAUUUCAGAAGUCUGGUCUUGAAGGAUGAGUUGAGUUUUAAUAGGAGGAGAAUGUGUAAAGAGCCAUAUGAGUGAGCAGUGGCCCAAAGCCAUGAACAUCAAUGGCUCAUUUAAGGAAUGAAUGCCAUUAGAUGGGCUAGUGAGAGCACAGGGUAUGAUAUUAUGGAAAAUAAAGUUGGAAAAGCUGAAGGAUUGAUUUUCUUCCAUCAACUCUCAAGAUCCCAUUCCCCAUUCAAUCUCUGUGCUGCAGUAAGAGCAAUCUUAAACAGUAUAAAUCACACACACACACACACACACACACACACGUCCCUCAGGAAAAAUUUCAAGCUCUUGAGAAGAUCACAUGAGCCCCUUCAUGACCUGGCCCUUGCUUAUUUCUUCCAGGACUUCUCUCACUUCUAUCCAGCUACUCCCGUCAGCAAAUGAACCUCCAAAGCAGCACAUGGAGCACUGCAUAGACUAUUUCCUCACUGCGUAACUCCUCCCUGUCUCCUCUUUACCUGACUAACUUAUAGUCAUCCUUCAAUACUCAAAUUGAAUUUUACUUGCCCUGAAAAGAUUUCCAUGACUAUCCACCACCUCCCUGCCUGUGAGACUGAGUUAGGUGCCCUUUUUAAUGUCUUUCGCCCAUCACAGCACUUACCAUACUGCGUUGUAAUUGCCUGUGUACUUGUCUGUAUAACUACUAGACUGUAAGCUCCUUGAGGGCAGGGACUGUGUCUAUCAUGUUCACAGUUGUAUCCCCAGCACCCAGCACAGUGCCUGGCAUAUUGUAGGUGCUUAAUAAAUAUUUGUUGAAUGAA
Long non-coding RNA from Macaca fascicularis (crab-eating macaque), 1371 nucleotides. NCBI's taxonomy places the organism in Eukaryota, Metazoa, Chordata, Mammalia, Primates, Cercopithecidae. The record is from Ensembl.